Non-coding RNA from Misgurnus anguillicaudatus (oriental weatherfish), 1803 nucleotides. The record is from RefSeq and is a predicted model, not a curated record. NCBI's taxonomy places the organism in Eukaryota, Metazoa, Chordata, Actinopteri, Cypriniformes, Cobitidae.
ACAAAUUUGUAGUGCAUGUACCAUUUGUAUAAAACAUAUCCAGCUAAAUUACUUGGUUUGUCUGAAGCAAUUCCAAACAGCCGUGACUGUGUAGAUAUUAUACAAACAUUAAGUGUUGAUGAAUACUUAGACAAUCUGUCAUUUAAAAAUUCCAAUUUGAUUGUUACAAUGAUGUUUAUCUUUUGUGGACAAAAAGGGAAAUGAAAGGCAAAAUCACAAAAAACAUGUGAAUUGACGAGUAAAAGAAAACCUAACAUUUAUAUUUAUUUUUUGUUAUGUCUGUGGAGCUGUGCUUAACUCUUGAGCAGGUUGGCAGCAGAGAGGUUUCCUGAGAUGUCCCGGAAACAGGUUGCGGUAAAAGCCCACCUGAAGGGAGAUACCAGUGAGGUAAAGGGAGUACCCUUGCUGACCAGGCAGCUACGGUUGCCAGCCGCAUGAACGGCAGAGAGAAACUUACUGCUCCAAUGUGUCAUCUAUGGUGACAAACUACUCAGAGCUCACAGACAUAGCUGAUUUUCAAAUUCAAUGCUCCAGAAAGGAGAAAUGAGAACGGAUUGAAAAUAAUAAUUUUAACACUGAUUUAUAACUCCAAAAGCCUUUUCCUUAUUUGGUCACACAGAUACACAGUGUUGGACGUUUAGAUGUUUUUCAAAUGUAUACGUAACUUGUAAAAAAUACAAUUUGGCACCCCCAAAUUCUAUCAAUUCUAAGCAGAACACCUCAGGGCGGUUUUCUGAAUUGCAGUAUGACUUUAUAACCUUUCAUCUAAAUACAAGGGUUAUCAAGAUGUUUUAACUAAUAGAUUUUUUCAUUUGGUGUAAAGGUUUUUUCACAAAGAAAACUUUGCUGCCUUUAUGGCUAAUAUGAUAACGUAAUAUUGUGCCAGGGCAAAUGGUUUUAAUAUAAAAGUUAUUUUUAUAUAACACUAUUUUAUAUAACAUUUUCUGAUGUUUUAGUCGCCUAAUGGUUUCUAUAGUUUCUAUGGGAGUCAAAACUAGUUAUUUCCUAGUAAUACUUAGAACAAGAUAUUUAAUUUAAAAUCUGUUUAAACAAAGUUGUUUUUUGGCCAUGGAGCCCUCUUGUUUUCUUUUCUUUUGUUUUUAUGUUUUCGCAGAGAUAUAUGACGCCGGCCUUCAAGAAAUUCACUGAAAAUUUCAGGUCAAUGGUCAUUUUUAAUUAUUACAAUGAAGGGUAUGAACAAUAUAUAAAAAAAAAUGUUAUUUGCUGUGUUGAUUUCUAUUCUGAUUUACAAUUCAGAUCCAUUAUUCCAUCCAUGGUUAGAACAUCACAGUAUUUUUAUUUAGGCAGUAACUUUAGCUCAUACAUACGAUAAGAUGCCUAAUAUUUCCAAUUGUUGUGUAUGUAAAUCUUUUCGUCAAAUAUCUGCAUAUACACCAGGACUUCUGAACGCCAGUUUAAAAGCAAUGCAAUAAAAAAGACUAUGUUACAACUGAGGAUAUGAUACAAUGGUUGUUUGGAGGGUCUUGGUGGGAAAAACUGUUGAAAAUAUUUGUUUCAAUAUUAUCUGCUCUUUUUCUGAUAUGUAUGUGUUUGACUUGUGUGAUACAAUGUAUGUCAAGAAUGACAAAAGAAAAUGAUUCAAUCUGUAUUUACUGAUGCAUACUUUAUGGGUACUAUUGCAGACGGAGAAGAGUAUAAAUUUGUUGUUCAGAAAACUACUAAAGCCUAUGAUGAUACUGUGUAGAAGAAAUUUCAUUUUGUCUAUUGAUGAAGGUUUAAUCCUAAAGUGCCUAAGAAUGUAACGGGUUACAACCCGAAGUAAAAGACAUUAUAAAUGAUAAA